GUAGGUGGCAAGCGUUGUCCGGAAUUAUUGGGCGUGAAGCGCGCGCAGGCGGUCCUUUAAGUCUGAUGUGAAAGCCCACGGCUCAACCGUGGAGGGUCAUUGGAAACUGGGGGACUUGAGUACAGAAGAGGAAAGCGGAAUUCCAAGUGUAGCGGUGAAAUGCGUAGAGAUUUGGAGGAACGCCAGUGGCGAAGGCGGCUUUCUGGUCUGUAACUGACGCUGAGGCGCGAAAGCGUGGGGAGCAAACAGGGAUUAGAUACCCUGGUAGUCCACGCCGUAAACGAUGAGUGCUAAGUGUUAGGGGGUUUCCCGCCCCUUAGUGCUGCAGCUAACGCAUUAAGCACUCCGCCUGGGGAUACGGCCGCAAGGCUG
Molecule: ribosomal RNA, 372 nt
Filed under: uncultured organism
Description: partial 16S ribosomal RNA
Rfam family: Bacterial small subunit ribosomal RNA
Source: RNAcentral